GCUUUAAUAAUAUAAUUUUAAUAUAUCAAUUUUGUAAAUUGGAAAAGGGUUUCCUUAAAGCU
RNAcentral lists this transfer RNA (62 nucleotides) under Nymphon australe. Its description in RNAcentral is "tRNA-Thr". The record is from RNAcentral. Lineage: Eukaryota; Metazoa; Arthropoda; Pycnogonida; Pantopoda; Nymphonidae.